GGGCGCUUGGUCUAGGGGUAUGAUUUUCGCUUCGCAUGUCUGUUCUUGUGUUUGUGAAAGGUCGUGGGUUCAAUUCCCACAGCGUCCA
The sequence is a transfer RNA, 88 nucleotides long. It matches the Rfam family "tRNA". From Rfam's summary of the family: Transfer RNA (tRNA) molecules are approximately 80 nucleotides in length. Their secondary structure includes four short double-helical elements and three loops (D, anti-codon, and T loops). The record is from Rfam.